UACGUAGGGUGCGAGCGUUAAUCGGAAUUACUGGGCGUAAAGCGUGCGCAGGCGGCUUUGUAAGUCAGAUGUGAAAUCCCCGAGCUCAACUUGGGAACUGCGUUUGAAACUACAAGGCUAGAAUAUGUCAGAGGGGGGUAGAAUUCCACGUGUAGCAGUGAAAUGCGUAGAGAUGCGGAGGAAUACCAAUGGCGAAGGCAGCCCCCUGGGAUAAUAUUGACGCCCAUGCACGAAGGCGUGGGGAGCAAUCAGG
RNAcentral lists this ribosomal RNA (253 nucleotides) under uncultured bacterium. Its description in RNAcentral is "partial 16S ribosomal RNA". It matches the Rfam family "Bacterial small subunit ribosomal RNA", at positions 524 to 776 of the family's 1533-position model. The record is from RNAcentral.